GUAAGUGAAUUGACUGCUGCGUUAAAGUAGAGGAAAGUCCAUGCUUGCACAGGCUGUGAUGCCUGUAGUGAUUCUGCUCUCAUUAAGAUUGAGAGACGUUGUAAGUUCAACGAUGACGAAGAAUUGACCUAAAGUGUUUGAUUAUGCAAUGGUUAACUCUUGGAAAGUGCAACAGAAACGAGUUAAUACGAAAGUGUUAAAUGAAACGGGCAAACUCCAGAAGCAAGAAACCCAAAUUUGGUAGGGGAAUGUUGAAAACAAUAACCAGAAUUGUUGAAACAAUGUAGCAAUACAUAGAUAAAUAGUCAAAUAAACAAAACAUGGCUUACCACU
RNAcentral lists this RNase P RNA (333 nucleotides) under Mycoplasmataceae bacterium. RNAcentral describes it as "RNase P RNA component class B". It matches the Rfam family "Bacterial RNase P class B". Rfam says of the family: Ribonuclease P (RNase P) is a ubiquitous endoribonuclease, found in archaea, bacteria and eukarya as well as chloroplasts and mitochondria. Its best characterised activity is the generation of mature 5'-ends of tRNAs by cleaving the 5'-leader elements of precursor-tRNAs. The record is from RNAcentral. Lineage: Bacteria; Bacillati; Mycoplasmatota; Mollicutes; Mycoplasmatales; Mycoplasmataceae.